This 336-nucleotide long non-coding RNA is filed under the name Monodelphis domestica (gray short-tailed opossum). RNAcentral describes it as "lncRNA (ENSMODG00000041477.1)". Lineage: Eukaryota; Metazoa; Chordata; Mammalia; Didelphimorphia; Didelphidae. The record is from RNAcentral.
UAAAAUAAUAUUUUUACAUGCUCUGUUUCCUUUUCUGUUAAGAGAAAGUUUUUCACACCAAAAUCCUUGGCACUUUCAAAUAGUUCAACAUCAGAUGCUGAAAUGAUUUUGUUAGUGGAAAUGGCAUCAAAGAAAAGGAUUAGGUGAAUACCUAUGAAAAAUUCCUGGUGGUUCAAGAGAUAGCAGGAGAAAUUUUUAAGGAACAGAGAUGGCUUCAAAAACAACAGCACCUUGACACAAAGCAGGUAAAUACCUCUUUGGCAUUUAUUGAUCUGUGUUGGAUUUGAUUUCAAAUGAAUGCCCAUAUUAUUUCCAAUGGUUUUUGUUUCUCAGUAA